This 253-nucleotide ribosomal RNA is filed under the name uncultured bacterium. RNAcentral describes it as "partial 16S ribosomal RNA". It matches the Rfam family "Bacterial small subunit ribosomal RNA", at positions 524 to 776 of the family's 1533-position model. The record is from RNAcentral.
UACGGGGGGGGCAAGCGUUGUUCGGAAUUACUGGGCGCAAAGGGCUCGUAGGUGGCCAACUAAGUCAGACGUGAAAUCCCUCGGCUUAACCGGGGAACUGCGUCUGAUACUGGAUGGCUUGAGGUUGGGAGAGGGAUGCGGAAUUCCAGGUGUAGCGGUGAAAUGCGUAGAUAUCUGGAGGAACACCGGUGGCGAAGGCGGCAUCCUGGACCAAUUCUGACACUGAGGAGCGAAAGCCAGGGGAGCAAACGGG